CCUACGGGAGGCAGCAGUGGGGAAUAUUGGGCAAUGGAGGAAAACUCUGACCCAGCGACGCCGCGUGCGGGAUGAAGGCCUUCGGGUUGUAAACCGCUUUCAGUAGGGAAGAAGCGAAAGUGACGGUACCUACAGAAGAAGCACCGGCUAACUAUGUGCCAGCAGCCGCGGUAAUACAUAGGGUGCAAGCGUUGUCCGGAAUUAUUGGGCGUAAAGAGCUCGUAGGUGGUUCGUCACGUCGGAUGUGAAAAUCUGGGGCUCAACCCCAGACCUGCAUUCGAUACGGGCGAUCUAGAGUGUGGUAGGGGAGACUGGAAUUCCUGGUGUAGCGGUGGAAUGCGCAGAUAUCAGGAGGAACACCAAUGGCGAAGGCAGGUCUCUGGGCCAUUACUGACACUGAGGAGCGAAAGCGUGGGGAGCGAACAGGAUUACGAUACCCUGGUAGUCCACGCCGUAAACGGUGGGCAUAGUUGUGGGAACCUUCACGGUUUUCNGCGACGCAGCUACGACAUAGUCGCCCGCCGUCGGGAGGUACGAGCGCGAAGAAGUUAAACGUAACGUAAGUAGUAGUUAGACGUGUUGAGACGNGCGACGGCGACGACGAGGAGGAGG
RNAcentral lists this ribosomal RNA (612 nucleotides) under uncultured bacterium. RNAcentral describes it as "bacterial SSU rRNA". The stretch from base 1 to 523 matches the Rfam family "Bacterial small subunit ribosomal RNA", at positions 338 to 873 of the family's 1533-position model. The record is from RNAcentral.